GUGACCUCGCGACGAUGAGUAUUUCGGUACGUAAAGUUCUUUUAUUAGGGAAGAAUAAAUGAUGGAAAAAUCAUUCUGACGGUACCUAAUGAAUAAGCCCCGGCUAACUAUGUGCCAGCAGCCGCGGUAAUACAUAGGGGGCAAGCGUUAUCCGGAAUUAUUGGGCGUAAAGGGUGCGUAGGCGGUUAAAUAAGUUUAUGGUCUAAGUGCAAUGCUCAACAUUGUGAUGCUAUAAAAACUGUUUAGCUAGAGUAAGAUAGAGGCAAGUGGAAUUCCAUGUGUAGUGGUAAAAUGCGUAAAUAUAUGGAGGAACACCAGUAGCGAAGGCGGCUUGCUGGGUCUUUACUGACGCUGAGGCACGAAAGCGUGGGGAGCAAACAGGAUUAGAUACCCUGGUAGUCCACGCCGUAAACGAUGAGUACUAAACGUUGGGUAAAACCAGUGUUGAAGUUAACACAUUAAGUACUCCGCCUGAGUAGUACGUACGCAAGUAUGAAACUUAAAGGAAUUGACGGGACUCCGCACAAGCGGUGGAUCAUGUUGUUUAAUUCGAAGGUACCCGAAAAACCUCACCAGGUCUUGACAUGCUUCUGCAAAGCUGUAGAAGCACAGUGGAGGUUAUCAGUUGCACAGGUGGUGCAUGGUUGUCGUCAGCUCGUGUCGUGAGAUGUUGGGUUAAGUCCCGCAACGAGCGCAACCCUUAUUGUUAGUUACCAGCACGUAAUGGUGGGGACUUUAGCAAGACUGCCAGUGAUGAAUUGGAGGAAGGUGGGGGACGACGUCAAAUCAUCAUGCCCCUUAUGACCUGGGCUACAAACGUGAUACAAUGGCUGUAAGAAAAAAAUUAAAAAAAAA
RNAcentral lists this ribosomal RNA (855 nucleotides) under Leafhopper (Deltocephalinae) aster yellows phytoplasma. RNAcentral's name for it is "bacterial SSU rRNA". It matches the Rfam family "Bacterial small subunit ribosomal RNA", at positions 391 to 1258 of the family's 1533-position model. The record is from RNAcentral. Lineage: Bacteria; Bacillati; Mycoplasmatota; Mollicutes; Acholeplasmatales; Acholeplasmataceae.